AUCCUUUCAUGAUUCACAAAUGUGAUGGAGGUUUUGCACCAUUGUAUGAGCUGUGUCUUUCUCAGACCUUGCUACAGUGUUGGCACAUUACCCAUCAAAUG
Molecule: small nucleolar RNA, 101 nt
Organism: Jaculus jaculus (lesser Egyptian jerboa)
Lineage: Eukaryota; Metazoa; Chordata; Mammalia; Rodentia; Dipodidae
Product: small nucleolar RNA U13
Exons: 1
Source: RefSeq, a predicted model, not a curated record